Molecule: long non-coding RNA, 548 nt
Filed under: Nicotiana benthamiana
Lineage: Eukaryota; Viridiplantae; Streptophyta; Magnoliopsida; Solanales; Solanaceae
Description: long non-coding RNA (NBEN_LNC030566)
Source: RNAcentral
UCCAUUUUCAUACUUGAGAACCAAAAUUCAAAACCUAAAUGAAACGGAAAAAAAAAGCGUCCAUGUUGUAUAUGCACACUUUUUUGAAGUUUAAACAAACAUUGGGUUCCAUAUAUGUUUAUACAUAUUUUUAUCUUUUUUUGAAAUUUAAACAGACAUUGAAAACCAUAAAAUGAGCCGCUGAAUCCCUUUCUUUUAAACCCAAUUUUCAUCCCAUGUUUCCUUCCCGAAUUUCCCCAACGAUUCUGUCCGUUCUCUGCCUCUGUUUCGUUCCCCCUCCCCUUUUCUGUUGCUGUCCGCUGUGUGUAUGUGUGUUUUCGACGAAUAUGGUGACGGGGUGGUUGGCGGAAAGGUUCAGGGGUCAAUGGUGGCUGCUUUUCUCGGCUGGCGGGGUUGGUUUCCGGCGGGAGUUCGCCGGUUUUGGCGAUGGAGAAGGGUCGUUUUCCGGUGAGGGGUCGAUGGUGACGUCACUGCUUCUGGUGAGUGAAGGUUGUGUGUGGCGUGAUGGGUCGCUGAAGUUGGAGUCUUUAUUGGGGGUCUGAUAGGAC